This 169-nucleotide ribosomal RNA is filed under the name uncultured bacterium. RNAcentral's name for it is "partial 16S ribosomal RNA". It matches the Rfam family "Bacterial small subunit ribosomal RNA", at positions 338 to 524 of the family's 1533-position model. The record is from RNAcentral.
CCUACGGGAGGCAGCAGUGGGGAAUAUUGCACAAUGGGGGAAACCCUGACGCAGCAACGCCGCGUGGAGGAUGAAGUCCCUUGGGACGUAAACUCCUUUCGACCGGGACGAUAAUGACGGUACCGGUGGAGGAAGCCCCGGCUAACUCCGUGCCAGCAGCCGCGGUAAU